CCUUACCUAAGCUUGACAUCCCAAUGACAUCUCCUUAAUCGGAGAGUUCCCUUCGGGGACAUUGGAGACAGGUGGUGCAUGGUUGUCGUCAGCUCGUGUCGUGAGAUGUUGGGUUAAGUCCCGCAACGAGCGCAACCCUUGUCUUUAGUUGCCAUCAUUAAGUUGGGCACUCUAGAGAGACUGCCAGGGGUAACCUGGAGGAAGGUGGGGAUGACGUCAAAUCAUCAUGCCCCUUAUGCUUAGGGCUACACACGUGCUACAAUGGGUAGUACAGAGGGUUGCCAAGCCGUAAGGUGGAGCUAAUCCCUUAAAGCUACUCUCAGUUCGGAUUGUAGGCUG
Molecule: ribosomal RNA, 339 nt
Filed under: Clostridioides difficile
Lineage: Bacteria; Bacillati; Bacillota; Clostridia; Peptostreptococcales; Peptostreptococcaceae
Description: bacterial SSU rRNA
Rfam family: Bacterial small subunit ribosomal RNA
Source: RNAcentral